RNAcentral lists this ribosomal RNA (427 nucleotides) under uncultured Lysobacteraceae bacterium. RNAcentral's name for it is "bacterial SSU rRNA". It matches the Rfam family "Bacterial small subunit ribosomal RNA", at positions 353 to 772 of the family's 1533-position model. The record is from RNAcentral. Lineage: Bacteria; Pseudomonadati; Pseudomonadota; Gammaproteobacteria; Lysobacterales; Lysobacteraceae.
AGUGGGGAAUAUUGGACAAUGGGCGCAAGCCUGAUCCAGCCAUGCCGCGUGUGUGAAGAAGGCCUUCGGGUUGUAAAGCACUUUUGUUGGGGAAGAAAAGCCCUCGGUUAAUACCCGGGUGUUCUGACGGUACCCAAAGAAUAAGCACCGGCUAACUUCGUGCCAGCAGCCGCGGUAAUACGAAGGGUGCAAGCGUUACUCGGAAUUACUGGGCGUAAAGCGUGCGUAGGUGGUUCGUUAAGUCUGUCGUGAAAGCCCCGGGCUCAACCUGGGAAUGGCGAUGGAUACUGGCGGGCUAGAGUGCGGUAGAGGAGAGUGGAAUUCCCGGUGUAGCAGUGAAAUGCGUAGAGAUCGGGAGGAACAUCAGUUGCGAAGGCGGCUCUCUGGACCAGCACUGACACUGAGGCACGAAAGCGUGGGGAGCAAA